UACCAGCACCCCGAGUUGUCGGGACGAUUAUUGGGCCUAAAGCAUCCGUAGCCUGUUCUACAAGUCCUCCGUUAAAUCCACCUGCUCAACAGAUGGGCUGCGGGGGAUACUAUAGGGCUAGGAGGCGGGAGAGGCAAACGGUACUCAGUGGGUAGGGGUAAAAUCCAUUGAUCUACUGAAGACCACCAGUGGCGAAGGCGGUUUGCCAGAACGCGCUCGACGGUGAGGGAUGAAAGCUGGGGGAGCAAACCGGAUUAGAUACCGAGUAGUCC
Molecule: ribosomal RNA, 272 nt
Filed under: uncultured prokaryote
Description: partial 16S ribosomal RNA
Rfam family: Archaeal small subunit ribosomal RNA
Source: RNAcentral